ACUCCUACGGGAGGCAGCAGUGGGGAAUAUUGCACAAUGGGCGCAAGCCUGAUGCAGCCAUGCCGCGUGUAUGAAGAAGGCCUUCGGGUUGUAAAGUACUUUCAGCAGUGAGGAAGGCGAGUACGUUAAUAGCGUGCUCGUUUGUACGUUAGCUGCAGAAGAAGCACCGGCUAACUCCGUGCCAGCAGCCGCGGUAAUACGGAGGGUGCGAGCGUUAAUCGGAAUUACUGGGCGUAAAGCGCAUGCAGGUGGUUUGUUAAGUCAGAUGUGAAAGCCCGGGGCUCAACCUCGGAAUUGCAUUUGAAACUGGCAGACUAGAGUACUGUAGAGGGGGUUAGAAUUUCAGGUGUAGCGGUG
RNAcentral lists this ribosomal RNA (357 nucleotides) under uncultured bacterium. RNAcentral describes it as "bacterial SSU rRNA". It matches the Rfam family "Bacterial small subunit ribosomal RNA", at positions 335 to 683 of the family's 1533-position model. The record is from RNAcentral.